This 459-nucleotide ribosomal RNA is filed under the name uncultured bacterium. RNAcentral describes it as "partial 16S ribosomal RNA". It matches the Rfam family "Bacterial small subunit ribosomal RNA", at positions 338 to 795 of the family's 1533-position model. The record is from RNAcentral.
CCUACGGGUGGCAGCAGUAGGGAAUAUUGGGCAAUGGGCGAGAGCCUGACCCAGCCAUGCCGCGUGCCGGAUGAAGGCCUUCUGGGUUGUAAACGGCUUUUCUCAGGGAAGAAAACGACCAUGCGUGGUACACUGACGGUACCUGAGGAAUAACCACCGGCUAACUCCGUGCCAGCAGCCGAGGUCAUACGGAGGGUGCAAGCGUUGUCCGGAUUUAUUGGGUUUAAAGGGUGCGUAGGCGGCCCGUUAAGUCCGGGGUGAAAGCCCACGGCUCAACAGUGGAACUGCCCUGGAUACUGGCGGGCUUGAGUCCAGACGAGGUUGUCGGAAUGGACGGUGUAGCGGUGAAAUGCAUAGAUACCAUCCAGAACCCCGAUUGCGAAGGCAGCUGACUAGGCUGGUACUGACGCUGAGGCACGAAAGUGUGGGGAGCGAACAGGAUUAGAUACCCGGGUAGUC